RNAcentral lists this microRNA precursor (74 nucleotides) under Haemonchus placei. RNAcentral describes it as "mir-5928 microRNA precursor family". It matches the Rfam family "mir-5928 microRNA precursor family". Lineage: Eukaryota; Metazoa; Nematoda; Chromadorea; Rhabditida; Trichostrongylidae. The record is from Rfam by way of RNAcentral.
GGCACGAGUCGCAGUAAAGUAGGUUAGUAGGAUUAGCUGACCAUUCUGAUCUACUCUACUUCGAGUUUGUGCCC